RNAcentral lists this small nuclear RNA (122 nucleotides) under Suricata suricatta (meerkat). RNAcentral's name for it is "U2 spliceosomal RNA (ENSSSUG00005006311.1)". It matches the Rfam family "U2 spliceosomal RNA". Rfam says of the family: U2 is a small nuclear RNA (snRNA) component of the spliceosome (involved in pre-mRNA splicing). Complementary binding between U2 snRNA (in an area lying towards the 5' end but 3' to hairpin I) and the branchpoint sequence (BPS) of the intron results the bulging out of an unpaired adenosine, on the BPS, which initiates a nucleophilic attack at the intronic 5' splice site, thus starting the first of two transesterification reactions that mediate splicing. Lineage: Eukaryota; Metazoa; Chordata; Mammalia; Carnivora; Herpestidae. The record is from Rfam by way of RNAcentral.
AUCACUUCUUGGCCUUUUGGCUAAGAUCAAGUGUAGUAUCCAGUAAUCAGUAAAGAAUGGCUUCAUGUCUAGUUCCCUUGGUGAAAAGCAAAGUCAUUCAUCUGUUUUUUAUCUAAUCAUCU